RNAcentral lists this ribosomal RNA (492 nucleotides) under uncultured bacterium. RNAcentral's name for it is "partial 16S ribosomal RNA". It matches the Rfam family "Bacterial small subunit ribosomal RNA", at positions 29 to 507 of the family's 1533-position model. The record is from RNAcentral.
AGUGAACGCUGGCGGUAGGCCUAACACAUGCAAGUCGAACGGCAGCACAGUAAGAGCUUGCUCUUACGGGUGGCGAGUGGCGGACGGGUGAGGAAUACAUCGGAAUCUACUUUUUCGUGGGGGAUAACGUAGGGAAACUUACGCUAAUACCGCAUACGACCUACGGGUGAAAGCAGGGGAUCUUCGGACCUUGCGCGAUUGAAUGAGCCGAUGUCGGAUUGGCUAGUUGGCGGGGUAAAGGCCCACCAAGGCGACGAUCCGUAGCUGGUCUGAGAGGAUGGUCAGCCACACUGGAACUGAGACACGGUCCAGACUCCUACGGGAGGCAGCAGUGGGGAAUAUUGGACAAUGGGCGCAAGCCUGAUCCAGCCAUACCGCGUGGGUGAAGAAGGCCUUCGGGUUGUAAAGCCCUUUUGUUGGGAAAGAAAAGCAGCAGGUUAAUACCCCGCUGUUCUGACGGUACCCAAAGAAUAAGCACCGGCUAACUUCGUG